Molecule: long non-coding RNA, 795 nt
Filed under: Dromaius novaehollandiae (emu)
Lineage: Eukaryota; Metazoa; Chordata; Aves; Casuariiformes; Dromaiidae
Description: lncRNA (ENSDNVG00000006946.1)
Source: RNAcentral
AGAAUAAAAAUCUGUUCUCUUUUCAGUUCAUGGCAGAAUUCCCCUUGAUUUCAGUAGGACCAAAAUCACUAGACUCAUACAGCUGUAGCUUCCAGGAAAAUGUCACUAAACUACUCUUCAGCCUCAUUACAAAAUGGCCUCAUUUGUGAAUCAAUGCCUAAGUCCUGCAUAUUAGCCAGCCUCACCUACACACUGAACAAGAAGAGAAGCAAAAGGUUUCAGGAACUCCACAGGGACAUGUUCAGGCAGAAGAGCAAAUGCUAGUAAAAAAAUAUCCUCUGGGAUCUCUCUGAGAGAUGGAAAUGGAGCCACUGAAAGCCGGCCAUACGAACUGCCGCAGGGUUUGCAACUGCAUCAACAGUCAUGAAACCGAAAACGGCUAGCCAACAGAUCUAACUGUAUUAGUCUAAGCACCUUCUCUGUUUUCAUUACCUGGAUCAUCUGCUAUAGGAACCACAUCUUGCAUUCAUACACUUAGGUAUAAACCCAGACUGACAAGAAUCAGGAAGAUCUGAAAUAUCUAGACAACAUGAACAUUUUCUAUGGGAUACUGUGGAAGAGUUAGCUGGCUUGCCUUGUGUCUAGCCUUGGCUGCUUGAUAAGAGACAGGAAGGCAGCUUUGUCAGAUGUUGGCAUGCCUCUAUAUUGCUAAUUAUAAGGACAUUACAUACUCCAAACUCUUUUCUUUCAACAACAUGCUAAUGUUAGAAAACUAUACUAUCUAGCUGUGUCUGGCAUGCUAUCACCUGAUUAUCAAUGUGUCAAAUGUCGGUAAUAAAACUCAGUUACUAAGCA